Molecule: ribosomal RNA, 250 nt
Filed under: uncultured bacterium
Lineage: Bacteria
Description: partial 16S ribosomal RNA
Rfam family: Bacterial small subunit ribosomal RNA
Source: RNAcentral
CGACGACCGGCGGAUGGGUGCGUAACGCGUAUGCAACUUGCCUCACAGAGGAGAAUAACCCGGAGAAAUCCGGACUAAUGCUCCAUACACUCUUUAGCACGCCUGUGCGUAAGAGGAAAGAUUUAUCGCUGUGAGAUAGGCAUGCGUCCUAUUAGGUAGUUGGUGAGGUAACGGCUCACCAAGCCGACGAUAGGUAGGGGUGCUGAGAGGCAGAUCCCCCACAUUGGGACUGAGACACGGCCCAAACUCC